RNAcentral lists this unclassified non-coding RNA (498 nucleotides) under Hevea brasiliensis (rubber tree). The record is from RNAcentral. Lineage: Eukaryota; Viridiplantae; Streptophyta; Magnoliopsida; Malpighiales; Euphorbiaceae.
CGAAAUCAUAUUCAGCUAUACCAAGGAUUGCCAAGCAUAUGGUACUUACUGAGUUUCCUCCUCCCUUGGGAAUAAUCAACCAAGAAAAUGAAGAAAGGGAAAGUCGAGGCGAAAUAACCCAACUCUGUAGACUCUGGUUUCUUUAGUGGGUCGAAAUGAAACAACCCCCAAUCAACUACGUAUUAGUGUAUCGAAGUUAAACUCUUUACUUACAACUGAAAGUAACAUUUUUCCUCCCUUAAAAAUAAUAUUGUUUGUGUUCAAAACUAGAAAUAGUACUUUCUUGUUAAACCUCUUUCAUUGAUCCUAAAUUUACUGCUAAUCAAAUAAGUAUGGCAACUUUGCUUUUCACUUGCAAAGUUGGAGCUGUGAAAAAACACAGACUGAGAUCUGUCAUACAAAACACAAUCUGCCAAGGUGAGGGAAAGCGAAAAACUCAGUUCCACGAACCUAAAACCGCAGCCUAAAGGUGAGAGAAAGGACAUGCCUGUAAAUUCG